Molecule: ribosomal RNA, 253 nt
Filed under: uncultured bacterium
Lineage: Bacteria
Description: partial 16S ribosomal RNA
Rfam family: Bacterial small subunit ribosomal RNA
Source: RNAcentral
UACGGAGGGGGCGAGCGUUAUUCGGAAUUAUUGGGCGUAAAGGGCGCGUAGGCGGCUGUACAAGUCAAAGGUGAAAUCCCUCGGCUCAACUGAGGAACUGCCUUUGAGACUGUACGGCUUGAGGCCGGGAGGGGGUAGCGGAAUUCCCAAUGUAGCGGUGAAAUGCGUAGAUAUUGGGAGGAACACCAGUGGCGAAGGCGGCUACCUGGACCGGUUCUGACGCUGAGGCGCGAAAGCGUGGGUAGCAAACAGG